GAUUUACAUAUAUUUAAACAACUAGAGAGAGAGAAGAACGUAAAAAUUUAUUUGGCUUUGGAGUACAGCAGAACAGUGAAGAAGAAAAGAAGAAAAUUCAAAAAGGUAAAACUUAAACCCUUUUUUUUAUUAUUAUUAUGAGAUGAUAUUUGCCUUAUGUAUAUAUGGUUAAUUUUGUAAUCAAUUUUUAUAAUAAUUAACUACAAAUUUAUUUAAAACUUAAGAUUUAUGUGCAUAAUAUUUGAAUAAAGAGUAUGAUUGUGUUAUAAUAUUGUAUUAUAUUUGUCUUAAUUUUAUAUUUAGGAUUUGUUCGUUUUUAAUUUCGUGUUUUGCAAUAUCGAGGUAAGUGGUUUUCCAAACUAUUUAGUGUUUUUAAGAUUAUCAUUACUUUUAAGUAUGUCUUAUUAAUUAUUCAGAUGCCUAAAUGUACAGUUUCAAAAUUCGUUAUGUUUUAUUUAAGGCUUCCAUUUAAAUUAAAUUGUUUUGUUCUUUUAUUUCAAAAUUCGAAUCAAGUAAUUAUUUUCGAACUGUGAAUGAGAUUAUAUGAUUUUGAACUGUGAAAAAGUAUCAUUUAUAUUAUCGAUAAUAUUGAGAAAAGAUUUUGAAAUACUCAGUUUGACUAUGUAUAGAACCCGUUAUUGAUUACGUUUAGUUCCGGAGCUAAUAUAGGACCUACUAAGGUGCACACCUUUUAGAUGCCCUUCGGGGAGCGUGCAUUUUUAUAGAUACCGUAGUAGGGUGCGUAUCAUAACGUUAUCGAACUUUUGGGCCGUGUUACAAGGCUAUUGUAACCUUAGUCGCUUAGGCUGUGGAUUAAAAGAUAUAUGAUAUACUUUGAAAUCAUUUUUCAAUUGUUUUAGUUUUGAAAGCUUUUGUACUAUCGUUAUUGAACAAAAAGUUAUUUUAUAAAAAGUGUUUUGCAAAUUGUACUUGAUUCGGCUAGAUAGGGAGGAUUGCUACUUGUUGGGCUUCAUCGCUCACCCCCUUACAGAUUUUUACAGGUCCCAUCGUUGAAAGCUGAGCACUUAUUUGAUACGCUUAGAAUAGCUGGAGUUUAGUUUUAGAUGUUAUUCUUUUGUUGAUGGAUUUUGAUAAAACUCUUAGUUUCGAGGAGCUGCGUCUCCAUUAUUUGAAUGUGGUAUUUAUUAGUAUUUCAUUUGGAUUGAUUUAAAAUAUAUUUAUUGUUGGGUUUUAAGUUAAGAUUAAUGUUAAGUUAUUUUGUUUGGGCUGCGCAUUAUUGAUAUUGUUGCCUUGCGGGCAUAUGGGCUUGCGGCGUGUAGCACUUUGGGCCUAUAUCGGGUUCGGGGUGUUACAGAGGUGGUAUCAAAGCAGUGGCCCCUCGCAAUGUGUUAGGUUGAAAAACCUGGGGAGUGAUUUUGGGAGUUAGAUGUGGGUAAGAAUAUUGACUAAAUUUAAUGAUUUUAAAAUUAAAUAGAGAAUAAGUUAAGAAAUCUAUGUUUUGUUUGACGUUUGGUACUCUAGGCUAAUUGGGUAUUUUAUUUUAUUCGUUAUUAGUUUUGUAUAGUGUUGUUGAGUAGGGAUUUCUUUUUGUACGGAAAAUGCCGCCUAGAAUAAGAAACCCUACUAACACUAAUUUUGGCGCUAAUGGUCUGACUCAGCUGGCUACUACUUUAGCUCAGCUAGUGCAGAACCAACAACCUGGACAACAUGGCAUAGUAGCGGAAUUCAAACGAUUGAAUCCGCCAAUAUUUGAAGGGGCUACGGACCCUUCCAUAGUUGAGAUGUGGAUUCAAGAAAUGGAGAAGGCGUUUGAUUUGCUAGGGAGUAGUGAGACUAAUAAGGCGACGUUGGCAGUUUACCAGCUUCAGGGUGGGGCGUAUGAUUGGUGGCUUAUGGAGAAAAGAAAGCAUGAAGGGAAUCCUGAACCCUACACAUGGACCAUGUUCAAGGAGGCAUUUACUAACAAAUACUUUCCUAGAACAAUUCGGGCACAAAAGGAGAGAGAAUUUAUUAGGCUCGAAUAAGGGAGCAAGACAGUUGCUCAAUAUGAAGCUGAAUUCGCGAAGCUUGCCAAGUAUGCACCGACCUUGGUGGCAGAUGAGGCGGCAAAAGCGCGAAGGUUGGAGGAUGGAUUACGGUCCGAUAUAAGACAUGGUGUGGUGUCUUUUGAGCUGCCCACAUAUGAUGCGGUGCUCAAUAAGGCGUUAGUGAUCAAGAAGGGCUUAGCGAAAAUGGAGAAAGGGAAUAACAAUAAGAGGGAUGAAUCAUCUGGGGAAGAGUCUAGCCAUGGAGGACCUACAAAGAAGUUGAAUACGCAAACCACUAAGUUUAGAGGAAACCAAUGGAAUCAAGAGAACAAACUGAAGUGUUCGAGGUGUGGUAGAAACCACUUAGAUAAGGAAUGUCAUUAGAAUACGGGAGCGUGUUUUCAUUGUGGAGAUUUCGGUCAUAGGAUUGCACAAUGCCCCAAGAACCCUCCACCGAAAAGAGAUGAAAAAGAGGAAGAAAUAACAUUGGCAAGCCUAGGACCAAAUCGAGGACGUGUGUUUCAGCUUUCAGGCAACCAAAAUUAAGGUAUGAAACUCUUUUAUUAAUUGCAUUUAGUAAUUAGAUAAUGAAUUUCUUGAUUAUGUCAAAUUUAUAUUUUUCUUUAGAUGUUAUUUUUGAAAUUUGGAGGACCAAAUUCUUUUAAGGUGGGUAGAAUGUAAUACCCGGUUUAAAAAAAAAAAUAAAAGAUAAUAAAAUAAUAUAAUUAGAUAAUAGAAGUGUAACUAAUAAUUAUUUAUACAUAUCUAAAACCUAUAAGGAUAAGAAAAGUCAUUCAAGUUUAACAAAUUCUUAAUUUUAAAAAGGACUCUUUUACCUAGUAACCUAUUUUGCAAAGGAUUUACAUAUAUUUAAACAACUAGAGAGAGAAGAGCGUAAAAAUUUAUUUGGCUUUGGAGUAGAGCAGAACAGUGAAGAAGAAAAGAAGAAAAUUCAUAAAGGUAAAACUUAAACCCUUUUUUUUAUUAUUAUUAUGAGAUGAUAUUUGCCUUAUAUAUAUAUGGUUAAUUUUGUAAUCAAUUUUUAUAAUAAUUAAC
Molecule: long non-coding RNA, 3044 nt
Filed under: Panax ginseng (ginseng)
Lineage: Eukaryota; Viridiplantae; Streptophyta; Magnoliopsida; Apiales; Araliaceae
Description: long non-coding RNA (PGIN_LNC013164)
Source: RNAcentral